This 253-nucleotide ribosomal RNA is filed under the name uncultured bacterium. Its description in RNAcentral is "partial 16S ribosomal RNA". It matches the Rfam family "Bacterial small subunit ribosomal RNA", at positions 524 to 776 of the family's 1533-position model. The record is from RNAcentral.
UACGUAGGGUGCGAGCGUUAAUCGGAAUUACUGGGCGUAAAGCGUGCGCAGGCGGUUUUGUAAGCCAGAUGUGAAAUCCCCGGGCUUAACCUGGGAAUGGCAUUUGGGACUGCAAGGCUUGAGUGCGGCAGAGGAGACUGGAAUUCCAGGUGUAGCGGUGAAAUGCGUAGAUAUCGGGAGGAACACCAGUGGCGAAGGCGACUUCCUGGCCUGUUCUUGACGCUGAGGCGCGAAAGCUAGGGUAGCAAACGGG